Long non-coding RNA from Falco peregrinus (peregrine falcon), 508 nucleotides. RefSeq lists it as uncharacterized. Lineage: Eukaryota; Metazoa; Chordata; Aves; Falconiformes; Falconidae. The record is from RefSeq and is a predicted model, not a curated record. The transcript has 3 exons.
UACAUAUUCGUUACCUAAACCCCGCUUCGUAUGUUAAUUAGCUUAUCAGUCUGUUGCCUGGAAUGUGGUGGUCUUGCAGGUUUGUAGGUGAUUCAUGUUCUUGUGACCAUCCGAUCUUCUCCAGCAAGGAGACUUAGCACUCCCUCCCUCUAGAUAGCAUUGGAAUAUCUCUCAUCCUUUUCUCAUUCUUUUUUAAAAUAGCCCCUUUUGUUAGAGGAAGAAGGGCAGGCGGCAGGCGUCUCCCCUUUGUUAGAGGAAGAAGGGCAGGCGUCUCCCCUUUGUUAGAGGAAGAGGGGCAGGCGUCUCCCCGUCUCCCCUUUGUUAGAGGAAGAGGGGCAGGCGUCUCCUCAAAACUGUAGCGUCUCCUCAAAACUGUAGGCGUCUCCUCAGAGCUGUGUGCCUAUGUGACCAGACAUCGCACCCAUGACUAGUCACCAUACCCACAUUCCUUGAGCAGACAUAUACAAUCACGAUCGAUGUCCAUUGUCCCCAUUUCACACUAUUUCUC